Molecule: long non-coding RNA, 1200 nt
Organism: Meriones unguiculatus (Mongolian gerbil)
Lineage: Eukaryota; Metazoa; Chordata; Mammalia; Rodentia; Muridae
Exons: 5
Source: RefSeq, a predicted model, not a curated record
GCUCCUACCUCCACUGCUGUUGGCUUGUUCUGCUGCUCCUUUUGCUGUUACAUUUGCUAUUGCUGGUUUGCUGGACCUCUGGAUAUCCUAAUGACGAAGACUGGACUUUCCCCAAGAAACUACAGCCUGAAUCAGCAGGAAGUAGUCUGAAGAGACCUAUGUCCCUUUCCUCUCUAAUCUCCUAACUCUCCUACCUGGUGGCCCCGGAAAUCUUCAGACCACAGCCCAGUGGCCUCUAAACAUUACAGCAGGAAGAAGGCCGCACUCACACACAAGUAGGGAAGGCUCAAUCCAUCUCUGCAGUUUACAUGGUGUCAAAUGCACCUCUGAAAGCACCAGAGCCAAACUGAGGAUUCCCAAGAGGAAUUUCAUAUUUCCCACAGGGAAAUGUGAAGGAGGCGUUCUGCUCCUGCUUUCUCGGUGGCGUUAACUAACCCCUAGUAGCUUUCCUGCUUGUAAACCAGAAGUGAAGCCAGCGACCUCACAGUUUGUUGGGCAUCUUAACAGCAGGGUCCUCCUGUCCCUAGGUUGACUGGACUCCAAGCCUGGGAGCUCUGGGCAUAGCAGGACGGCUACACCACCAGACGGACUGUGACGUCACUGGGAGCUACAGCAGGGCUCAGACAAGCAACUCUGCUACCGUGCGAUGGGCCUUUCGGAACGGUACGCAUCUGUUCCCAGACUGCCUCCACCCGUGGCCUGGUCACAUCACCCCCCUUCCAUGGAGGGUAACCGUCUUACCGCAGACGUUAGCCGAGCCAGAAUUUCAUCGCUGCUUUCUUCCGCAUCCUCCACUUUCUGGUUAGACCUUUGAGAAAACAACAACAAAUUACUCCUGGGCGCUGGUUGCUCAAACUUCAAACUUCAAAAUAAAGGGCAAAAAACUGACACUGCCAUUAUGUCACAAGUGCAAGCGUGCAAAUUACACUGUGUUGGCAGAGCCAGAGGCACACAAUCCUUUCCCAGCCAACUGUUCGUUAGAAUACAUGAUCCAGUAUCUCUUCACAUGGACCACCUGAGUUCAGGGGACCUUGUGCUGUUCCCCCGGUGACGUCACAAGGUAAGGCUGGCGCACCUGAUCUACAGAUACAGUCUCGAAGAGUGCAAGCCAACAGGCCAUGCUUAGGUGCUGAAUGCCCCUGAAUCUAAUGAAACCGCAAAGCAAUGAAAUGUAAAUUUUCCACUACAUUUGAGUUUCAG